Molecule: small RNA, 159 nt
Filed under: Theobroma cacao (cacao)
Lineage: Eukaryota; Viridiplantae; Streptophyta; Magnoliopsida; Malvales; Malvaceae
Description: sRNA Tc09v2_g012480
Source: RNAcentral
UUUAAAGGGAAAAUAGGUGGAAAUUCAAAAAUCAAGUGAAAAAAGGUGGUGAGUCAAUUGUUUCGGGUAAGAGACUGCACCCGAGGGCGGAAGAUAGGAGUAUUUCUACUCCUAAUACUAGGGGGUUCCGUGGACCAGCCUAUUAGAGGGGCACGGUAA